This 1029-nucleotide ribosomal RNA is filed under the name Coconut lethal yellowing phytoplasma. RNAcentral describes it as "bacterial SSU rRNA". It matches the Rfam family "Bacterial small subunit ribosomal RNA", at positions 212 to 1281 of the family's 1533-position model. The record is from RNAcentral. Lineage: Bacteria; Bacillati; Mycoplasmatota; Mollicutes; Acholeplasmatales; Acholeplasmataceae.
GGUAUGCUUAAAGAGGGGCUUGCGCCAUAUUAGUUAGUUGGUAGGGUAAAAGCCUACCAAGACGAUGAUAUGUAGCUGGACUGAGAGGUUGAACGGCCACAUUGGGACUGAGACACGGCCCAAACUCCCACGGGAGCAGCAGUAGGGAAUUUUCGGCAAUGGAGGAAACUCUGACCGAGCAACGUCGCGUGAACGAUGAAGUAUUUCGGUAUGUAAAGUUCUUUUAUUGAAGAAGAAAAAAUAGUGGAAAAACUAUCUUGACGCUUUCAAUGAAUAAGCCCUGGCUAAUUAUGUGCCAGCAGCCGCGGUAAUACAUAAAGGGCGAGCGUUAUCCGGAAUUAUUGGGCGUAAAGGGUGCGUAGGCGGUUUGUUAAGUCUUUAGUUUAAUCUCAGUGCUUAACGCUGUUCUGCUAGAGAAACUGACUUACUAGAGUGAGAUAGAGGCAAGUGGAAUUCCAUGUGUCAGCGGUAAAAUGCGUAAAUAUAUGGAGGAACACCAGAGGCGUAGGCGGCUUGCUGGGUCUUUACUGACGCUGAGGCACGAAAGCGUGGGGAGCAAACAGGAUUAGAUACCCUGGUAGUCCACGCCGUAAACGAUGAGUACUAAGUGUCGGGAAACUCGGUACUGAAGUUAACACAUUAAGUACUCCGCCUGAGUAGUACGUACGCAAGUAUGAAACUUAAAGGAAUUGACGGGAUCCCGCACAAGCGGUGGAUCAUGUUGUUUAAUUCGAAGAUACACGAAAACCUUACCAGUCUUGACAUACUCUGCAAAGCUGUAGAAUACAGUGGAGGUAUCGGGAUACGGUGGUGCAUGGUGUCGUCGCUCGUCUGAGAUGUUAGGUUAAGUCCUAGAACGAGCGCAACCCUUGUCGUAGUUACCAGCACGUUAUGGUGGGCACUUUAACGAGACUGCAUGAAUAUUGGAGGAGGGGAGGAUUACUCAAUCAUCAUGCCCCUUAUGAUCUGGGGACACGGAUAAAUGGUGUUCAAAAAGUAGUGAAAGGGGGUUUUUGGCCACCCAAAAAA